GAUCAGUAGAUUAGGCACAUCUAAGUUUGAAACUUUUUAUGUCAUAGUCUGUAUUUCUCCCUCGACCAUUGAACUUUACCUUCUUUAGGUCUAAAGACGAGCAGAGGAUUCUGUAUACACACAUGCUGAUGCAGUAACUAUAAUACAGAUGAGUCGAAACAACAGAAAGACACAUCGGACCAAAGAGAGCAUGGCAGACCUUCCUUCAGAAGAUUCUCUACUUGGUCUUAUUUUUCCAAUAAAGAGCAGUGGUCGGGAUUUUGAUGCUCCAAACUAUGACACCACUGAAUAAAGGUGGAAGGAAGACCUCUUUGCUGGGACAACUCAUCAGCCUAAGAAUUCUGUCACACACUUUACCCUGUUUAAGGCUGGAGUCUGCCAAGUUUCCUCCCAAGUACUCAUCAAAGAAGUCCCUCAAAUAACGCCAAGGUUAUAAUAAUGUGCUGUAGUUAAAGUGACAAUAAAGAAGAAGUAAAAGUGAAAAGCAGUGAAUCACUUGUGACCACCAUCACCCAGAUGAGAAGAGAAUGGAGUUUGAACAUUUGCAGUUGACAGCGCACAUGUUCAGAACACCAAAUGGAACCCGGCUAAAAGAUCUGGACGUGUCUGCUGAUGGCUUCCUGGUCUUGGCUGAGCUUUGAAGACCCCCAAGCAGCCUACUAUAACGCCAGAAUCUGCUACCAGAAUGGGACCGAAUUGAUGAAUAAAACAGGAACGGGCUGUAUUCCCAUGAAGGUUACACGCUGCUUGCUAAAAUAUACAUGCUUUGAAAAGAAAACAUCAUCAACAAUGACAAUAACAAACCCUGCAGGAUCAAAGCGACAAACGAAGAGACUUGAUAUGCC
Molecule: long non-coding RNA, 845 nt
Filed under: Rattus norvegicus (Norway rat)
Lineage: Eukaryota; Metazoa; Chordata; Mammalia; Rodentia; Muridae
Description: long non-coding RNA NONRATT032644
Source: RNAcentral